GGGGCUAUAGCUCAGCUGGUAGAGCACCUGUAUGGCAUACAGGAGGUCCGGGGUUCGAGUCCCCGUAGCUCCACCC
RNAcentral lists this transfer RNA (76 nucleotides) under Bacteroidetes bacterium QS_8_68_15. RNAcentral's name for it is "tRNA-Ala". It matches the Rfam family "tRNA". From Rfam's summary of the family: Transfer RNA (tRNA) molecules are approximately 80 nucleotides in length. Lineage: Bacteria; Pseudomonadati; Bacteroidota. The record is from RNAcentral.